Molecule: non-coding RNA, 227 nt
Organism: Pelobates cultripes (western spadefoot toad)
Lineage: Eukaryota; Metazoa; Chordata; Amphibia; Anura; Pelobatidae
Source: the annotation of a GenBank genome assembly
CCAACAGGGACUUUUAUGAUAUUGCAUUAUAAAUACAUAUACAUUAAUAUGUAGUUGAUCCUCCCUUUGCAGCUAUUAUAGGUUCCACUCUUCUGUGAGGGCUUUCCAUAAGAUUUUGGAGUGUUUCUGUGGGGACUUUUUGCCCAUUUAUCCAGUAGAGCAUUUGUGAGGUCAGGCAUUGAUUUUGGACAAGAGGGCCUGGCUUGCAAUCUCCGUUCCAGUUCAUC